AAAGUUUGAUUCUGGCUCACAACAACGCUGGCGGCGCGUUCUUGGCAUGUCUGUCGUACGGAGGAUUCGUCACGAGUUGAAUCCGAGUGGAUAAUGUAUUCGCCAGUUAGGGACAGCUCAUGCACUCGCGGCGUAAUAUCUGAUACCAUCUGACGCGUGUGGUGCUCUGAAGAGCGCCGAGGUAGUCACUGGGGGAGCAGAUCACCUCCCAUUAGUUUGUUGGCAGGGUUCUGGCAUACACCGGCCACCAUGGAUAGCCGGCCUCAGAGGGUGUACCGCCUCAUUGGGACUGAGACGCCGCCUGCACUCCUACAGGAGGCAGCAGCUGUGAAUCUUCCGCAUUGGACGAUGGUCUGACGGAGCGACGCCUCGUGAACCAGGGUGAUUGAGUUCUUUUCAGGGGGCCGGAAUAACCCGGUAAUAUUCCUCGGGAACACCGUGCCAGCAGGCGCGGUAAUACGGAGGGUCCGAUCGUUAAUCGGAAUUAUUGGGCCUUACGGGAGCUCAUGUUGUUUGUUAAACGAGAGGUGAAAACCGUGAGCUCAUCCUUGGAAUAGCAUUUCCAACUGGCUAACUAUAGUCUUGUAGAGGGGGGUAGAUUCCAGGGGUAGCGGUGAAAUGCGUAGAGAUUUGGAGGAUACCGGUGGCGAAGGCGGCCCCCUGGACAAGACUGACGCUCAUGCACGAAAGCGUGGGGAGCAAACAGGAUUAGAUACCNUGGUAGUCCACGCCGUAAACGAUGUCUACUCGGAGUUUGGUGUCUUGAACACUGGGCUCUCAAGCUAACGCAUUAAGUAGACCGCCUGGGGAGUACGGCCGCAAGGUUAAAACUCAAAUGAAUUGACGGGGGCCCGCACAAGCGGUGGAGCAUGUGGUUUAAUUCGAUGCAACGCGAAGAACCUUACCUACUCCAUCCACAGAACUUUCCAGAGAUGGAUUGGUUCGCUGUGGAAGGUGCUGCAUGGCUGUUGUCAGCUCGUGUUGUGAAAUGUUGGGUUAAGUCCCGCAACGAGCGCAACCCCUAUCUUUAUUUGCCAGCACGUAAUGGUGGGAACUCUAGGGAGACUGCCGGUGAUAAACCGGAGGAAGGUGGGGACGACGUCAAGUCAUCAUGGCCCAUACGAGUAGGGCUACACACGUUCUACAAUGGCGAGUCCAUCGGGAAGCAAAGCCGCGAGGUGGAGCUAUCUCCCAAAGCUCGUUGUAGUCCGGAUUGGAGUCUGCAACUCGACUCCAUGAAGUCGGAAUCGAUAGUAAUCGUGGAUCACCAUGCCCCGGUGAAUACGUUUCCGCCUGAUGGCACAAUCCCCCGUC
Molecule: ribosomal RNA, 1314 nt
Filed under: uncultured Shewanella sp.
Lineage: Bacteria; Pseudomonadati; Pseudomonadota; Gammaproteobacteria; Alteromonadales; Shewanellaceae
Description: partial 16S ribosomal RNA
Rfam family: Bacterial small subunit ribosomal RNA
Source: RNAcentral